CGUGGCUCGCCUCGCGGUUCAGCGGGAGACAUGUAUCCGCCGCCCCGGUGUGUUCUGGCCGCGGCUAACGCUGCCUCCUCCACGGACGCGAUGAGGAACUUGUAGCUAGCGGCGGGAGGCGGCUAUAGUCAAGACUACCCGUAGCGGCUGCGGCUGCUAGCGGUGGCGAGCCUCUUGUGUGCCCCGGCACAAUUAGCAACGGAGCUAGCAAACGUGAACACUCAACUGGACGCCGGUAUCAUGUGAGGCGGGGGCGCAUGUCGGCUACCUGUUCCCCUCUCAUACUAAGCCACGAAGCAGUCUGUUGGAGGUCGGUUGUGUUGGCAGCGGCAAGGACACCGGGAAAGACUGACUCAGUCAGCGUCGGCUGUAAAGCCCAGGCCUCGCUUCUUGGACUUGGAGAGGAGCAGGAAGACGGUCAACUGGUCUCCCAGCAUGUGAUCCUGUGAGAUAAAAAGCGAGCCGCUCUCUUCACGCUGAACUCCUCUGGAAAAAAAAAAGAAAGAAGUAGAAGUUAGAUUGGAGCAACUUCAUGAAAUCAAGACCCUCAGGGUCUGGUGAAAAUAUGCUAAUUAGUUGAAGAUUGAGAGGGCUGAGAAGGAACAGCUGGAUGUGGAGGAAAAACAGCAGCGCAGCUUCGUUUAUAGAUCAAAAUAUUUUUAAGGCUCUUUAAUGAACUUAACGUUUGCUUAUAUAAGUCCAAGGCUAGUUUGUCAGGGAAAACUGUAAGCAGAGGAUAACCGCCUAGAGAAAUAUGAAUAAUAUUUCUGGUCUAUCCAAGAAAAAGCUGCCAAUUUUUUGCAUUAGCUUCAGUUUUCUCCUGUGAAGAAAACAUAUUUUUUUACUAUCUGUAAAAUAAUAUGUAACAGUGUCCGUAUGAUAGAAUCACUUGAUGGGAUUUGUUUGACUGUAUGCAAAUCAUACACUUAAUUUUUUUGGGUUAUGCAGUUUAUUCGAUUUAUUUGGCAAUGUUGCCAACCGGAUCUUCCCAGCAUUCUCUGCUCUUUGUUACGGUGUCAAUUUCAGGCUGUGUUCCUCCAAUACCGUAAUAACAUUAAGUGUCAGUCACUGACUGAUUUCUAUGUCCAUAAGAAAGACAAACUGUCCCUGGAAAGAAAAAGUUAAGCUCAUACCUAACUGUACAUCAGUUUUUAAGCUGGUUUUACUCUUCAGAUCUGCCAAAACUACGAGCCAAGUUUUGUCACAACUGAAUCAACCGCUUGUUCAAAUAUCAAAUGGAUUAUGUUAAACGCAAACAGAGACAGAGAGUGAGUGAUGCACAAAAUCCUGUAUCACACCUAUCAGUGCUGUUUGUCAUGUACUUUGCUGUUCUGCACACUGUAGAAUUAUUCCUGGUCUUUGGAUGAAACCGAACAACACACACCACUGACUUCAUCGUCACACUGCUUUUAACAGCUUUCAUGACAAGAAGCCAGUGUCAUAAGUAUCACCAGGGGGCGAUAUUACCAUUUUCUCUCACUGCUGGAUUUGAGCAUUUAUUCCAAAUGAGGCUUUUUGGAGGAUAUUUGAAAAAGCACAACUUUAUUGCAAAUCCUCACCUUCUUAAAACCAACUGUUUAAAAGACUCAAGGUCCUUAGAUGUUUAAUGUGCACACAUAUGAAAGGCUGCAAACAGUAUUUUAUUCAUUUUCACAUUGCAAAUACAAGAGUUUGGAGCCAAAAUCAAAACUGUGCAGCUGCCAAACACAUACGGAACAUUAUAUAUAUAAAAAAUAAGCAUAGGCCAGUAUAGUUCGACAUUAAUGCUCAUUCUGUUGUUUUUUUUUCUUUUCUUCUUUUUCCCAUUCAUUGUAUGAAGGUUGUUAUUUUUGCAUUGAUUGGCGUUCUGUUAUUUUGGCCUGUUCAGUAUUUAUUUAAUAUUGUUUUCAUGAUUUUACAGUGUGAAAGGAGAGAGAUUAGACGCAUUGACGAAUAAAUUUAAAAUAUUAAUUCCUAAGAGGAUCUGGCUGACACGAAUGCCUGCCUGCUCACUUUUUCGAUAAAAUUCAGUAUGUAUAGUAGGUGAAGGAUAAAAAGAGCUACAUUAUAAAAAGCAGAUGUGGACAGCUAGGCCCGAGGAGAUGGCAUCAUAAAUGGACAACAGGUAUGGACAGGUUGUGGGUCCAGGAGGUCUAGGUUUGUCAGAAUGGUGCGAAAAUCAAUGGACUCCUGAGGGGGCGGCUGUGCUCUGAUAGGCCGACCCCUCUCCUCACGGCGGAGCAGGAAUCAGUCAAGAAUAUUAAUCUAAACAUCAGUCAUGCAUGGGGAACACCCCACGAGGAGAAUGAGCCUGCUCAUCCAUGCAUCUCCUGGGGGAGGUAGAGGGGGGGCUUAGAGGAAGGAAGCUGAAUGGGUAAGUAUGUCAGGGUAUCAUCUCAGGAGAUAUGAUGUGGGCUGACUUCAGGCACACAGACAAUAAACCCCAAACUGAAGAGGUUGGCACCAUCCGAACUGAAAUCUGUGCAUAACUCAGUGAACCGCCCUCUGAUCUGUCUCAAAAACCUGCGCCAGAGUGGAGAAAAGCCACAGUCCGAACAAUGACCAGCAAAGAACAAUAUUUCCCCCGUGUGGGAAAAGAAGAAGAAAGCUAUAUUUCUGAGUUAUAUGUUAAUGUAAUUCAUCUUAUUGUAAUCUAAUCCUCCAGCUGUUCCAAUAAGCCACACAAGUAGCUGGAAAUAUUCAAAUUCAGCACCAGUGCAUCUUCUUAUUACCUACAUUAUGCUGCAUUUCAUCUUCUCUCCUCACAUUUUAUAAAAUGACUCCUCUGCCUCUCGGUUUCCACUGCUCUUACUAUGUUAUCUUCCCAAGGACAAGUACAGCUGUUGAGCUGUUUCCUCCAUUAGGAGACCCCACACUGACCGCAGGGCAUCCGAGCUUUCCACUCCACAGCUAAUCUAAUGUACCACGACUGUCAAGUGUGCUACACAGAAACAUGGGAACAUAUGUCAAUUUCUACCUUGCUAAUCGAUGCAACACCCAAGCUGAGGAUCAUGGGUAGGGUUUAAAAUUAGACUCCCAGAGAUACAGUAAGGCAGAGUAGAGGCAGAUUUUUAAUCAGUUCCAUAUUCAGCUCUACCGCUUCGAUUGGAUAUGUUAAAGCUCAGUGCUACUGAGGCCAGUGCAUUUGUUUCCCCCACUCAUGUCUCUGCAUUUCAGGAAUUGAGAACUUACUGUAUUUUUUGUGCAGUUAUCUGUAGCUGUGAUAUUACAGCAACAAUAAUUUGAUGUUCAACACACACAUAUCUGAGUCUACCCAGCGUCUCCUCUACCUUGAAGGUAAAAAAAAGUGUGCAAGUAAACUUUCCUCCAGGUAAAGUUUCCUGCAGCUCAUAACAUAUUUAUUUCCGAACUGAAGCCAUGGGGCCUGUGCUUGUCCCAGCAGCAGCAGAAUGCUGCAUCAGAGCUGAAAGGCAGAUUAAUGGCCUCAUUGUAAUGGGUCGGUCUGCUUCUUGUAUGCUCAAGAAAUCAUCAAAGAUUACGAGGCAAUCUCUUCCCCUGCAGAUGAAAUGACAAACCACCAAACAGACGCUCCUAACAUAUAACAUCUAGAACAGCUGUUAUCUUUAAUAGGCCUAAGGAUUAUUUGGUUAUUGCGGUGGUGAACAGUGAAACUCGAUAUGGUAAUGACAUGUAACAAAUAUAGCUCAGAGACAAAUCCUGGACAUUCUAGACUGGUCCUGUGGUGGAAACUACCACUGAGAUGGUUUUGAGUACUUUGACAGGUGUUAAUGUCUGUCUGACUGUCCGUCCGUCUGUCUGUUGACAGAUUGUCACCACAGUAGCGUCACAACCGUGGAAGAUGCAGUCACAAAACUUCGUAGGUGUGUGGUUGAGAUCAAAAUGAAGGCUGAGUUCGAUGCGUGUGGUCUGAAGCAGGGUGUCGGACGUGGAGGGGGUUGGAAAUACGCUCACUGUAUCCCAGUUUGGAUCAUUCCGGUAUCUGAGACAUUAUAGGUACAACCACAGACCAGCAGUGACGCCUUUCAAUAAUGUAGUGAUGACUACCGAGUACUAAUGGGUUGGAACAUCAUCAUGUUGACGGGUGUCACCGGUGGUGUGAUCUCAUCACACGAUAGUCUUUUGCUUUUAAGUAUAGUUGGAUACUUAUUAAUAAUGGACUCAUUUUUUCCAGUGACACGAUUUCACUCGUGUAUUUUUCAAACGAACACUUCCUACUUUCCC
RNAcentral lists this long non-coding RNA (4182 nucleotides) under Scophthalmus maximus (turbot). RNAcentral's name for it is "lncRNA (ENSSMAG00000022521.1)". Lineage: Eukaryota; Metazoa; Chordata; Actinopteri; Pleuronectiformes; Scophthalmidae. The record is from RNAcentral.